GCAAAUAAUUAAAAGUUCAUGUUACGAUCUGAUAAGUGCUUGUUUUAGGACACUAAGCUUGUCCUUGGGAAACCAUCAAUCAACUCAUCGAGAUCUACAAUAUUUAUUAUAGACAUAUGCAUCGACAACCGCUCUUUUAAAGUUUUUAUAAAUAGAAAGGAAGAGGGGGUUGGAGAUCUUAAAUGUGGAGAUGUUGGAGAGACCAAUAGAUUGGGAAGAUGUUUUAUAUGAGCAAGGACUGGGUGAGGUAUUUAUGAAAUAACUUCCAUGCUCACUGUUGUUUCUCUCAUUCUCAAACUCCAAGGAUGAUUCUUCAUGAAUGCUUAAAAUUCCUCU
This 336-nucleotide long non-coding RNA is filed under the name Sorghum bicolor (sorghum). RNAcentral describes it as "long non-coding RNA (SBIC_LNC016482)". The record is from RNAcentral. Lineage: Eukaryota; Viridiplantae; Streptophyta; Magnoliopsida; Poales; Poaceae.